Lipomyces starkeyi NRRL Y-11557 is the source of this 72-nucleotide transfer RNA. It matches the Rfam family "tRNA". Rfam says of the family: Transfer RNA (tRNA) molecules are approximately 80 nucleotides in length. Their secondary structure includes four short double-helical elements and three loops (D, anti-codon, and T loops). NCBI's taxonomy places the organism in Eukaryota, Fungi, Ascomycota, Lipomycetes, Lipomycetales, Lipomycetaceae. The record is from Rfam.
GCCCUCAUGGCGUAAUGGUAACGCGUCAGACUUCUAAUCUGAAGAUUGUGGGUUCGAGCCCCACUGGGGGUG